GUCCACACCCUAACGAUGUCUACUAGCUGUUGGGAGCGAUCCUAAGUAGCGAAGCAAACGCGAGAAGUAGACCGCCUGGGGAGUACGGUCGCAAGAUUAAACUCAAAGGAAUUGACGGGACCCGCACAAGCGGUGGAUGAUGUGGAUUAAUUCGAUGCAACGCGAAGAACCUUACCCGCUCUUGACAUGUCUGGAAUGCUGUAGAGAUACGGUAGUGCCUUCGGGAACCAGAACACAGGUGCUGCAUGGCUGUCGU
This 256-nucleotide ribosomal RNA is filed under the name uncultured bacterium. Its description in RNAcentral is "partial 16S ribosomal RNA". It matches the Rfam family "Bacterial small subunit ribosomal RNA", at positions 793 to 1055 of the family's 1533-position model. The record is from RNAcentral.